RNAcentral lists this transfer RNA (77 nucleotides) under [Clostridium] symbiosum. RNAcentral's name for it is "tRNA-Arg". It matches the Rfam family "tRNA". From Rfam's summary of the family: Transfer RNA (tRNA) molecules are approximately 80 nucleotides in length. Lineage: Bacteria; Bacillati; Bacillota; Clostridia; Lachnospirales; Lachnospiraceae. RNAcentral also lists the same sequence under 28 other names. The record is from RNAcentral.
GUCUCCGUAGCUCAGUUGGAUAGAGCACACGCCUCCUAAGCGUGGGGCCGGCAGUUCAAAUCUGCCCGGGGACGCCA